RNAcentral lists this ribosomal RNA (384 nucleotides) under uncultured bacterium. RNAcentral's name for it is "bacterial SSU rRNA". It matches the Rfam family "Bacterial small subunit ribosomal RNA", at positions 30 to 416 of the family's 1533-position model. The record is from RNAcentral.
AUUGAACGCUGGCGGCAUGCCUUACACAUGCAAGUCGAACGGCAGCACGGGGCAACCUGGUGGCGAGUGGCGAACGGGUGAGUGAUGCAUCGGAACGUGCCAUUGAGUGGGGGAUAACGUAGCGAAAGUUGCGCUAAUACCGCAUAUUCUGUGAGCAGGAAAGCAGGGGACCGCAAGGCCUUGCGCUCUUUGAGCGGCCGAUGUCAGAUUAGCUAGUUGGUGAGGUAACGGCUUACCAAGGCGACGAUCUGUAGCGGGUCUGAGAGGAUGAUCCGCCACACUGGAACUGAGACACGGUCCAGACUCCUACGGGAGGCAGCAGUGGGGAAUUUUGGACAAUGGGCGCAAGCCUGAUCCAGCCAUGCCGCGUGAGUGAAGAAGGCC